Molecule: long non-coding RNA, 272 nt
Organism: Alligator sinensis (Chinese alligator)
Lineage: Eukaryota; Metazoa; Chordata; Crocodylia; Alligatoridae
Exons: 2
Source: RefSeq, a predicted model, not a curated record
CUCUUGGAAAUUUCGAAGGAUGGAGAUUUCAACUUCUCUAGUUCUUUGCCUUCACAUCUGAAUAUCAAUUAUGAGGACUUCUUCUCUGCCCUCCUUCGCUAUGCGGCUUGUGAACAGCGCUGGGGAAAGUGAUACGUCUGAGCACACUACGACCAGUUUUUCCAUAGGAAGGAUCCUCUGUCUCUGUUUACAGGCACCUGUGAUCAGUACAAAUCCAGUCCAUAGUCCUUUCUUAAUUUAUCAACAAACUCAAUAAAAGUGUCUUACCUUUC